Small nucleolar RNA from Oryctolagus cuniculus (rabbit), 131 nucleotides. The record is from Ensembl. NCBI's taxonomy places the organism in Eukaryota, Metazoa, Chordata, Mammalia, Lagomorpha, Leporidae.
CAAGCACCCGAACCCCAGACCCGCCGUGCACCGUGGCCACGGCUCCAAGCGGGUGCAAACAGCAGCGGGGGCCUCGUCGCCUCUGAGGGGCUGUGGGUGCCCCCGGGAAUGAAUGUGGAGGCCGCACAUGC